AAGGAAUUGAUAUUCUUAACUUGUGAGCGGGCAGUAGGGCAAUGAAACUCGGUAAAGUGGGUACAAAAAAUGUACACCGUCAAUGAAGUUCGAAUUCCACAGUACUACAAGGUAUAACUGGUUAGACAUCUUUAACCAACAAAAAUAUCAGAUGGAUCAAGUUGUAUCUACAAUUACUUGCACAGUGCUCAAGGAAAAGUAAAAAUUGCUUGUGGAUUACUUUUGUCCAACCAUUGCCGCUUUUGCAUGGACCGCCUUUUUUGUAUUGACCACCGAUUCAGCAGCACCCGCCUUUUAAACCCUAUCGCAAUACAACACAAUACAAAUUCGAAUACUCUUGUAAUUCUAAAGCAAUCACUCGUUACAAAAUGAAGGCCAAGAGAGCCGCUUUUUUUCAGAAACAUGUGCCGAGUGCAUAUAAUAUAGUACAUGAUGGGUUACUGUUACCUGGAACAACUAGAAAACUAAAAAAAUAACCAAAUAUCAAAGCUUUGUUUUAAAGGCGUCCAUUAGUCAGUAGCCUCGUCUAUUUUUCGCAUCUAACUUUUAUCCGCAUCGUUUGGUUCCGAUUCUUUCAAAUGCCUAAUAACAAUUGUAGAUACCGCUCACCAAAACACUGGGAAUUCAAGACUAUCCCAAACUACGGAAAAAGUACAAUGAUAGGUAGUUAUUUACAUACAAGUCCAGAAAAUGAUACAUUACUGGCGAGGAAAUAUUGAAGUGCGGGGCCCCUUUAGGGGGCCGAGUACUUUGUUUUCCGAGUCAGGGUAUGUCACUUUACUGACGAGUACUUAUUAAAUUUUACCCGAAAUCGUAUUUUAACAUAAAAUUUCAAUUUUUAUAUAGAACUUUUAAUUAAUGUCAAUCUAUCAGUGAUCACAAGAGUCAUUAUAAACAUUUGGAAAAGUCACAAAUGCGGCCGGUAAAGUAACGGUGCGGCCGGUAAAGUGACAAGUGGCAGGAAACGUAGCUUGCGUAGUCUGUACUGCCUCUGUCAUUGAAACUAACAUUUGCUGACAGAAAGUAGGCUAGAAAAUUAAGGUUUCAGGGCGAUUUUGGGUAAAAAUGUUAGUAACAAUAAUAAUAAAAAUGACUUGCGAAGAUGUGCCAACUUUAGCAUUUGGAGGUGGCAAUUCAAGAUGCGCUAAAGUACUUUGAGUUGGACAAGCGUAGAAACGUAUGUGGUUGCUAAAAAAACAUGAAUUUCUUUUGUUGGGCAUCGGUGUAAUGAAUUUGGGCAAUUUCCGUAGAAAUUGGUGAAUAAAUAUCAAUUUUGAUGUCCCUUGGUCAAAAUCUAUAUGAUAUUAUGCUGCGUCGAUGAAGCUUUCAUCUGGUCGUAUGCAACGUAUUAUCUUGACUCUACUCAGAAAUCCUUAUUGAUAUAAAAUAAAAACAACCACAAAAGAACGCUUUAAUUAAAAAUAUUGGGCAUUGUUUGCAACUUUUUUGUCGUGUGAUAUAACCGGUUUUGGACCAGUGCGGUAAUAGCAGGAACAAACCUCAGCAGCACACCGAGAAGAAUAAUCCUUAGUCGAUGCAUAUGCCUAUACCUUAUAUACGAGUAAUUAAAUUCCGCGAUAAUUAAAGCCAGCGACGCGACGUACCUACGCAAUAUCCUGUAUUAAUAAAUACUUUGAUGUAGUAGUUAAUUCUG
Long non-coding RNA from Photinus pyralis (common eastern firefly), 1654 nucleotides. RefSeq lists it as uncharacterized. The record is from RefSeq and is a predicted model, not a curated record. NCBI's taxonomy places the organism in Eukaryota, Metazoa, Arthropoda, Insecta, Coleoptera, Lampyridae. The transcript is spliced from 2 exons.